Molecule: non-coding RNA, 847 nt
Filed under: Pan troglodytes (chimpanzee)
Lineage: Eukaryota; Metazoa; Chordata; Mammalia; Primates; Hominidae
Source: RNAcentral
CCAAUGGUAUAUGAGCGGCCUGUGGGGUUAUGAAUAGCAGAACAGACUGGUGCUGUCACAGCCCACUCAUACCACACCUUCUUGGAAUUGCUGCAUCGCCAGAAACGCACACAGAUGGUUUGGCCUUCACGUACCGUUAUGGGCUGCUGUAAGGAGAAAGACAGGGAGGUUCAGGGUGAAGCUAUGAAUUAUACAUGGCAAUGUAUUAAGGCUCGGACCUCAUUGUACAGCUUGGAGGAAGAGAUGGGAGCCAGAAAGGAAGUGUACUCCCCGGGGAUGCUCACACCAUCAUCUGCACAGCAGGAGAGUCAAAUUAGUUCCAGAGGGAGGGAAAUGCAUACAGCUUUAUCCGCCGGUCAGCCUGCUUGGCUGCCCGCAGGGAAGCGUUCACCAGGGGUCCCCGUCCUGCUCCCAGCACCAUCAGUACCCUAAGAAAGAAAGGGAAGAGUCAAGCAGACUUGGCAUAUACAGAUAUAGGAGGUAAGAGAAGCCACACCCAUCCCAGGAUUCUCAUGGACUCACCCACUGCAAUCCUCUUACUAUAGUCACACAAAGUCCGGAAGUUGUGCCACCUGUUCAGUCAAAUACAGAAAAGUACAGUCAACUAGAUAUGGCCGACCAAUCACCACAGCUCAAGGAGACCUCCCUACAGGUUGCACCCUGUACUUCCCCUCACCCUAUCCCUUGCACCCUGGUACAGCAGCAAAGGGAGACAUACCACAUCCACGUUUUCUCCUCCCCACUGUACUCCUCUGUGUGUGUAGUUGGUGCAUUCUCAAUUAUAUCAUCUCUCAGGUCCUCUGGUGCCACCAAGGGUACCCGCAUCCAGAACUGCACAUGAACAGUC